AAUUCAUACCUUUUUUUUUUUUUUAAAUCUAGGUGAAAUAUGUAAUGGGAGAGAACAACGGGUUGAAAUGAUUAAGGCCCGUGUAGGGAGGCAUGGCACCGACGGAACAUAUGCUGUGUGCAAGAAGAACAGUCCUUCUAACUCAAAGCAACAAUUAAAUACAAUAUUUCAUUCAUUGUCUCCAUCAUCCACUUUCCCAUUCACCUUUCACUUUCCAUUCUUUAUAUCCUCUAUUCAUUCCAUUUUUUUAUACCCUUUUUGCCACUUUCAUUUUGAUCCAUGUAUGUUACUAGAACCAAACUGA
Molecule: non-coding RNA, 304 nt
Organism: Vicia faba (fava bean)
Lineage: Eukaryota; Viridiplantae; Streptophyta; Magnoliopsida; Fabales; Fabaceae
Source: the annotation of a GenBank genome assembly